AGGUAAGCUACUAAGAGCGAAUGGUGGAUGCCUUGACUGGUAAAGGCGAUGAAGGACGUACUAGACUGCGAUAAGCUACGGGGAGCUGUCAAGAAGCUUUGAUCCGUAGAUUUCCGAAUGGGGCAACCCAAUGUAUAGAGAUAUACAUUACCUAUAUAGGAGCGAACGAGGGGAAUUGAAACAUCUUAGUACCCUCAGGAAAAGAAAUCAAUAGAGAUUGCGUCAGUAGCGGCGAGCGAAAGCGCAAGAGGGCAAACCCAGUGCUUGCACUGGGGGUUGUAGGACUGCAAUGUGCAAGAGGUAAGU
This 306-nucleotide ribosomal RNA is filed under the name Cronobacter sakazakii. Its description in RNAcentral is "partial 23S ribosomal RNA". It matches the Rfam family "Bacterial large subunit ribosomal RNA", at positions 1 to 327 of the family's 2925-position model. Lineage: Bacteria; Pseudomonadati; Pseudomonadota; Gammaproteobacteria; Enterobacterales; Enterobacteriaceae. The record is from RNAcentral.